AUGUAUCCCAAUUCCCUGCACGUUGUAGGGAGCCAGCUGCACGGCACAGUGCCAGCAAGCCAGAUGCAUGGCAUGGCUGGAAACACAACCACCCCAUGGUGGGAGCCAUCCUCACUGCAAACCAGGAGGAUCUGCACCCCAUCUGAGGGUAUCACCAUGGCUGCUUGGGGACAAAGCCAGCGUGUGGUUGGGGACAUCAUGGGAAGGUUUAUGUGGCACCUGCAGAGCCGCUCUCAGCAGAGUUUAGAGGGGGUAAUGAGGAAGGAAACUAAGAGAAGGAAAUUGAUAUGUGCCUGCUGCUGCCGGACAGAGGGACAUGAUUGUAUUGGGGCAUGGGGGAACUUUGGAGGCAAGCAAAAGAAACUCCAAGCAAAUGAGAGUAGUGGUGACCCACAGGGUCCUAAUACACAGCCCUGUAGGUCACCACCAUCAUCAACCCAAGCCCCAAACCCACUUUGUAAUAGCAGGGAGGAGAAAACCCUCAGCUGGCUGAAUCCCCAUGGGGAAAGCAAAGAAUUCCUGCUGGCUGCAGCCAACCCUUCCCUGAGCCCCAAAUAUUGCUCUGCUCUGACCCAGGCACAACCCGAUGGACACCAAAACCCGGAGGCAUUUACCUCUCAGCUGGGUAACUCCUGGCACUUCAGUGCACGCAGAGAUUCCAUCCCCACUGCUGUCACCCUGUUAGGAUCAUGUUGGCUGCCGCAGAGUUCAGUCACUUCUCCACCAGUGGCCGUGGCUAUUGCUGAGCUCUCUCAUCCCGCAGAGGAUGUACACGCAUCGCUGAUGGGAGGACGAGCAAAACCACAGCCUGUGGCACAAACACAAAUGAGUACAACCAGCAUCAGCUUGGCCCGUGCCUGGGAAGGAGGAAGCGAUGCUGCACGGCAGGAUGUGGGGGGGGACCCUGAUUUUGGGCUCUGUGCAGAAAGGGGACAAGGCAGGUCCUUGUGCUGUGCAUAUCCCAUAGCACUCAGACUCAGCCCCAAACUCUUUGGAGCUCAGCAUUCCACGCUGGUGUAA
This 1020-nucleotide long non-coding RNA is filed under the name Coturnix japonica (Japanese quail). Its description in RNAcentral is "lncRNA (ENSCJPG00005007347.1)". Lineage: Eukaryota; Metazoa; Chordata; Aves; Galliformes; Phasianidae. The record is from RNAcentral.